AACGCACGAGACCUGCGGACCUGCGGAGGGAUCAUUAAUGAGAAGCUGCCCCUCGUGGGUAGACCUCCCACCCUCUGUGAACUUACCUUUGUUGCUUUGGCAGGCCCGUCCUCUGGACCGCCGGCUUCGGCUGGCCCGUGCCUGCCAGAGGAUUCCAAACCCUGUCUGUCAGUGUUGUCUGAGUCUAUAUGAAAUCGUUAAAACUUUUAACAAUGGAUCUCUAGAUCGGAAGAGCACACG
RNAcentral lists this unclassified non-coding RNA (240 nucleotides) under soil metagenome. RNAcentral describes it as "partial contains 5.8S ribosomal RNA, internal transcribed spacer 2, and large subunit ribosomal RNA". The record is from RNAcentral.